CACGUAGGGCGCAAGCGUUGUCCGGAAUUAUUGGGCGUAAAGAGCUCGUAGGCGGUCUGUUGCGUCCGCUGUGAAAACCCGGGGCUUAACCCCUGGCUUGCAGUGGAUACGGACAGACUAGAGGUAGGUAGGGGAGAAUGGAAUUCCCGGUGUAGCGGUGAAAUGCGCAGAUAUCGUAAGGAAGACCAGUGGCGAAGGCGGGUCUCUGGACAGUUCCUGACGCUGAGGCACGAAGGCCAGGGGAGCAAACGGG
Molecule: ribosomal RNA, 253 nt
Filed under: uncultured bacterium
Lineage: Bacteria
Description: partial 16S ribosomal RNA
Rfam family: Bacterial small subunit ribosomal RNA
Source: RNAcentral